UUUUAUGGCACUUUUUAAUCCAUAUCCACCUUGUGUGCAAUGUCAGUCGAUCUUCUUCAUGGAGAUCGACCAAACAUCAACCUUUAUUUUUUAACUCUUUGUCUGAAAAAUAUUAUGAAUAAACAAUUUAAAAUACAACUUUCAACAACGGAUCUCUUGGCUCUCGCAUCGAUGAAGAACGCAGCGAAAUGCGAUACGUAAUGUGAAUUGCAGAAUUCAGUGAAUCAUCGAAUCUUUGAACGCAUAUUGCGCUCUUUGGUAUUCCGAAGAGCAUGCUUGUUUGAGUAUCAGUAAACACCUCAAAGCUUUUGGAUUUUUUAAUCGAAAAGCUUUGGACUUGAGCAAUCCCAACACCAAUCUUUUUGAGAUCGGUGGCGGGUUGCUUGAAAUGCAGGUGCAGCUGGACAUUCUCCUGAGCUAAAAGCAUAUUCAUUUAGUCCCGUCAAACGGAUUAUUACUUUUGCUGCAGCUAACAUAAAGGGAGUUUGACCGUAUUGGCUGACUGAUGCAGGAUUUCACAAGGGUCGGCAACGAUUCUUGUUAAACUCGAUCUCAAAUCAAGUAAGACUACCCGCUGAACUUAAGCAUAUCAAUAAGCGGAGGAAAAGAAACUAACUAGGAUUCCCCUAGUAACGGCGAGUGAAGCGGGAUGAGCUCAAAUUUAAAAUCUGGCUGGUUUACUAGUCCGAAUUGUAGUUUAUAGAAGCGUUUUCGGUGGCAGCCUGGGUAUAAAUCCUUUGGAAUAGGGUAUCAUAGAGGGUGAGAAUCCCGUCUUUGACUCAGUGCAUGCUACAAUGUGAUACGUUUUCAAAGAGUCGAGUUGUUUGGGAAUGCAGCUCAAAAUGGGUGGUAAAUUUCAUCUAAAGCUAAAUAUUGGCGAGAGACCCGAUAGCGAACAAGUACCGUGAGGGAAAGAUGAAAAGAACUUUGAAAAGAGAGUUAAACAGUGCGUG
This 953-nucleotide ribosomal RNA is filed under the name uncultured fungus. Its description in RNAcentral is "eukaryotic LSU rRNA". The stretch from base 548 to 953 matches the Rfam family "Eukaryotic large subunit ribosomal RNA", at positions 1 to 401 of the family's 3401-position model. Lineage: Eukaryota; Fungi. The record is from RNAcentral.